RNAcentral lists this long non-coding RNA (10910 nucleotides) under Gossypium raimondii (Peruvian cotton). RNAcentral's name for it is "long non-coding RNA (GRAI_LNC007055)". The record is from RNAcentral. Lineage: Eukaryota; Viridiplantae; Streptophyta; Magnoliopsida; Malvales; Malvaceae.
AGGCUUCUCAAUUUACAAGAGAUGAGAUGGAGUCUCUUGCAGCUUUUCAUGAUGAAGAUUGGGACUCAUUAAACAGAAUGUUCUCCAAAGAAGAUCAGCUUGAUUUCACACACCAAAUUCUUCACCAGUUCUCGUUUCCUAUGGAGCAUGACGAGCAGUCAAGCUUCUUAAAUCCGUCGACUUUUGUCCUAAUCUUGAAACCAAUAUGAGUGUUGCUGGGUUCAGUGAGAGUUUGCUUCGUUCUUCCAAUGCUCAUGACUUUCAUUUUCACUACAAAUCUUGGGAAAGUAAUCAAAGUAGCAAUUCUAGCAGUAAUACCUUUGUCCCCCCUUCCAAAUCAUUAAUCCUAUUUUCUUGGUGGUUCUAAUCAUAUUGCUGUAGCAAAUGAUAUGGCGAUGUCAUUGGAUAUUCCAGUGGACUUUGGCGGGGGGAGUGAUAAAAUUACUGAUUUGUUUCCCCCCGCGUUCUCAAACAUUGCAAUGGAAGACACUGACAUUAUAAUGCUUCUGUGAAGCUGACUGAAUUUCAUUCAUUCUAUGUUGUCUGAUCUUCCUCUUACUGUAAUAAUGUUUGUGCAUUUUCUUGAUAUAUGUUGUAAUUGUGUCUGGAUUUUUUUAGUUGAAGAAAUAUUGAUGGCAAAAUGCAGGUAUAGAAGCAAGGGGAUUCAUUUUUGGCCCACCUAUAGCAUUGGCUAUUGGGGCAAAGUUUGUUCCUAUGAGGAAACCCAAUAAAUUGCCGGGUACAUCCUCUUCUUCCUUUAUUAUCUCCUAAUGAAUUUUACAUUUCUGUUGCUGCAAGUUGUUAAUAGCAUUGAAACUUUGAUUAGCUAUUAAAGAACCGCAAUGAGGAGCUGUUAUUUAUGAUAAUGUGGUUCAUUGUGGAUAAUCUUGCCUUCUGUUCUGUUUCAGCUAUUGCCAAAUUCUCCAACACAUUCAAGAACUGUUCAAAGGAAUAUGAUCUUUCUGUUAACUGUUAAACGUUUGGAUCUUUAUAGGGGAGGUUUUAUCGGAGGAGUAUUCUUUGGAGUAUGGAAAGGACACAAUGGAGAUGCAUGUUGAUGCUGUCAAAGCAGGAGAACGUGCUUUGAUAAUAGAUGAUCUUGUUGCCACUGGUGGAACCUUGUCUGCUGCAAUCAGGCUACUCGGUAUUUGAAUUUAAAUAUGAAUGUAGGGACCUUGCUUACUUUGAUCUUUAUGUGCCAUAAUAUGGUAGAGAGUGGCUUUGCUCUGUUGCAGUCACUUUCAUGUUUGGUUAUAAGUGCUCCUGUGAUUUAAGGAGGAGAACAAGUGCCUUAGGAUUGCCUUUUCCAUGUGUUGGAACAUCAACCUGCUCCUGUUUAUCUUAUUAGGGCAAUGAUGUUUAUAUGAUUAGCUGUUUCUUUGCAGAACGCGUAGGGGUGCAUGUUGUGGAGUGUGCUUGUGUUAUUGAAUUACCCGAGCUAAAGGUAUGUGUUUCUAAUCUCAGACCUACCUGCUACCUGUUAGUCAUUAAUUCAUUAAACUAAUGUAUUCUAUAGGUCUCUAUAACAGUGCUUAGCUUUACACAGACUCAUUAGUCUGGAACUUUUAUGACUGAUAAAACUAAAGGUUGCGGUAGUUAACUUAUUCAUAAAUGUUCUAUGGAGCAGCUUAUAGUUGCGCAUAUCAAGGGAGUAAUUAUAAACUUUUAGAAUUCUAAUUCAUCUUUAGAAGGGCAAAAAAAAAAAAGUGUAGAUCGUGUAUAUGGAAAAGUCUGCCAGAAAUUGCUUAAGGUGAUCAGAAUUGUUGGGCUUUCCUAAUGUCAUACUAGGUGAAAGGAUGAAUCUCAUAUCUGUUUGUUUCAUAGGCUAACCUAUGCUGGAACAUGUUAGGCCAGAAAUAAAUUCUUAGAGAUAAAAUAAUGUCAAUGUCAUCUUCAAUACCACUGUAAGUAUUCUUUGUGAGCAUGAUGCAAGGUUUCGAAAGGUGUGAUACCUCUUAUUCUUUUACCAAUUGCAUUCAUUCAUUUGUUUUUCCUUUUAUGUCCAUUGGAGGUUUAUAUGGUAGGCCCUGUGCAUUUCUAUUAAAAUAAAACUAACAAAGUCUAUGGCAAUAAGUUUCAUGUAAUCAUUAAUGUUAAUAUCAAAUUCUACUACAGCAUUGAAGCAUGGAUGUAAGUUUGCAUGGAAAAUUUUAGGCCCGUGUUGACAGUAAACUGAAAAUUACGUCUAUUGGAGCUUUAAAAUAUAGCUUCGUUUCAGUUUUUGCUAUACACCUUUCUUGAUUUCAUGUAUGAUGUAUCAACUAGUAGACCUUUGAAAUUACUAACUUGUGUUUAAUGUUGGUUUCUGAUGUCUCAUGUGCUAUGAGUCAAGGAUAAAGUAUAUUAUACAUUUAUGCCUAGUCAUCCGCUUCCUUUUUAAUGUUUUCUCGUUUUAUAUUUCAGGGACGGGAACGGUUAGGAGAGAAACCACUGUUUGUUCUUGUAAGCUCCACUUGAUCAUCUUACAUAUUUUGUGGUGCAAGAGCUUGUUUAUUGGCCUUCAUUGAGUGUUGCAACAUGGCUAGAACUUUCCCCGAAAGCCUUGAAUAACUACUAUGUUAAAUAAAAAGAGCUACAUUAGGUAAAUAAGGUGAGACGUUAGAUUGAACUAAGAAGUAUGAUAACUUAGAUGUUGAUGUUUCCUGUUUCUCUAAAGAGCGAGUAUGGAGGACAAAGCUUUAUGUUCCUGCCUGUAAGGUUGAUUUGCCUUGUAUCAUAUGAUGAAAGGUAUAUUAUGUUGUUAAUGGCAUUGCUGUGUUUUCAAACUGAAUUCACCGGUUUUAACCUUUGAUGCGAACAAAUACCUCAUUGUGAGCACAUUUCGAUAAAUUAUGCCCCAGUAAAAAAACAAUUCACAUUUUAUCACCUAUGAGCCAAUGAUUGAAGUAUGGUUACAUAUAACAAAUAAUAUGUAGUUUGACAAUUUUUGCACAAAGUUUCAGGGGAAAAUUUAUAGACAUGGUAAUACGUCGGGUAAAAGAAUUUCGCAGUUAGUUUUGAACUUCCAAAGCGAAGAGACUAGUGUAAACUCUCAUAUUUCUGCUCCAUUCAUCACCCUCUUUAAGACGACAUUAAGCAACUAUUGUCUUGCAUUAUUUUGUUUGCCAAGCAUUUGAAUUUUUGGACCCAAGACUAGCUUUUCACCCUGGCUUGGGCUCCAUAGCAUCAAACUAGUUUGCCAAUUGCUGACUGCUGAGGGUAUUUCCCGUCUCGUCAUCAUUUCACAAAUGUGGCAAUUAGUCAGUGUAUAUAUUACAUUCAUGGUAUGUAUUAUAUCAAUUUUAAUGGGGGCAUCACUGGUCUUGGGCCAUGGGAUAAAAUGGUUAUAUCGCGAUUUUAAAUUCUAAGCUCAGUAAUUCAAUUUAAUUAUUUUGGCAUACUUUGUCUCCACAAUUUGAAUUUUUAUUUUAACCCUUAUAAAAAUUUUCUAACUUUAAUAUGUCGAGUUUGUAAUUGUAUGUUUCUCAAGUGCGGGGCUCUUUUCUUCUCCAAACCUUAAGUUUUGGUGUGGUUCUAAAAAUGAAGAUGCAACAAGGAGACAUUCAGGUGCCGAUGAAUGGGCAUGAGUUCCAUUACAGAUAUGAGGAUUUGGAUAAAGAAGACUGUUUUCUUGGUUGUUUGGAGUUUUAUGGGUGGUCUUUUUUUGCCCGGUUAAACAAAUUUAAGUACUAUGAAUGCUGAACCUCUUACUAAAAUAUAUAACCAGGAUCUGUUUUUGAGAACUAAUUUUGUCACUUGCCAUUAUCCCUUUUAUUAUUAUUAUGGUUUUUCCUUGUCUGUGGAUUUAGUCUUACUUGAUAGUGGUCUAAUACCAAAUCAUGAACUUGUGUGUAUAAUUUUUUUUAAGUCAGAAGUUUGAAUAAAACUUGUUUCUUUUCAAAUAACCCUCCUCCCGCAUGCUCUUCCAAAGCAUUUAUUCUCAAACUUUUUUCCCUAAAAUAUAUAUACUAAAUAAAAUACAGAAAAAGGAAUUAAUUGUAUCACUUAUUUUAGUCAGCCAUCUUCCCAAUAAUAAUAAAAAAAGAGUAUGGAAUUGGUCCCUGGGGGGCUAGAUAUACAUAAUCGGUUCAUUUUAUUUAAUCUUUAUUUGAUUAAUUCUCAUAUUUCCCAUGAAAUAAUAUAUAAUUUUUAAUAAUAAAAGUUGACAUUUUACUUAGUUUACCAUUUUUUAAACCAUAAUUAAAUGCCCCUAUAAAAUAUAAAUUAAGUGAGCAUUGACUUUUUGUAGUUUAUUUAUUACAAGCAAAAGGUAAGACAAUAGAAAAUUGUAUUAAAAAAAAGUAAAUCAUAAUUCUUUAAGAGGAUUGAAGCUUCUACAAUUUUUUUCCUUGAAUAUUUCAUAAUUAACGAACCUAAUAAUUCCAAAGAAGACCAUUUUGAUUUGUCUUUUUUAAUUGAGGGAGAUCUUUUUUCUCUCAUAACAUUAAUAUAUAUUCACUAUAUAGAUACUUAUAGCUUGUUAUUCCUCAACAUUUGAGAUUGAGCAGUAAGCUCAAUAAACCUCUGAAACACACGUUCUUCAGUCAUAUUUUUUUAGCUUUAACACUAAAAAGGAUCUCAUUUAUUUAUUAUUUUUACAUCUUUACGAAAAUAAGCACUACUUAUUAAUUGUAAUUUCUAACGCCAAUUAUUAUAUUCAAUUGCCAUCUUACAUAAGUUUAUAGUGACGAACUACUUGACCACUCAUCUCUAACUCACCAAUAAAGACUUGAAGCGUGAUAUCUCAAGGCCAUGGCUAAGAGUAUCAAAGUCCAUGCCACAACAUGAAAAAAGGACUCUCUCUCUCUCUAUUUCCUACUAUGCAUAAUAUCUCAAUAGUAAGGAAAACAACUAUGUACCUACGUAACAUAUAUGUGACAUUAUACAUAUUAAAUUUUGUUAUAGUUAUGGUAUGGGCGAAAAAAAUGUACAAUUAAAAUUAUGGGGUGUUUGGUAAACAGAGUUUUGAAUUUUUUUAGCUGAUUUUGGCACAAAUAGAGAAUUGGGAAGUUUGUAAAAGGUUGUUGAGCUAAAACCUCUAAAACAAAAAAUGUUAGAAUGAACAACUUUUUUCAACCGCUGAUAGGGAAUGAGAUACGUGCAAUGACAUAUUUGACCAUAUUUGCUCAAAAACUAUUCCCUUUGCCACAUAUUCUCAAACUUAAUAGGGGUGUCAAGAUAUCAGUAGCCUCCAUUCUCCCAUUUUCGCUUUCAUCUCCAAAGUGCAAAGUAAAUCUUAAAAAAAAACCUCCAUUGUGAAUCUACAAAAAUCAACAUUGCCGCGAUAAAUUUUCAAUCGAGCCCAUUCAUCCUUGAAUAUUUAUGUACUCUUAAUUUAUUUUCAGUUUACUUGUGCAAAAUAAUUUCUUAUGCAGUUUAUAUUAAUUAAAACAUGCUACUUCACAAAUUUAUUUAGAGUGUGACAUAAUUAUCACUAAUUUACAUACUAAGAACAUGACAUAAUUAUCACUAAGAAUAUAGUUUACAAUUAUAUUGAUACACUAUUAAUAUUUAUCAAUUUCCACAAGGUUAAUAUUUACAAAUAAGGAACUUAAGAAAUUUGUUUAUUUAAAAUUUUAAAAAUAUUCAUUAAUUAAUUUUCAUAAUGGUUUUUUUAAUUCCUUGGUAAUAGUGUUUUAUUUCAAUAAUUUCAUCCAAUAAGCACUAAAGUAUUAUAAACAAAUAAAUAUUUAAUAAUAAAAUGUGUCAUGCGUUUAUUUGUCAUUUUACACAUAUCAGCUUUCAGCUAAAUUUUACCAAACACUUUUAAAUAAACAAUUAAUAGAACUAAUUGGUCAAAUGUACCAGCCUAAUUUUCAGUGGUGUCAAAAAUAGUGAUUCGAGAUCACUAAAUCCGACCAGUGAGUUUUAAAAUUUAAUAAAUUAAUAAUUAUGGGUCAAGUUUGAAUUUAGAAAAAAAUUUUGAAUUAGUGAAUUUUGUGAUUUAAAAAGAAUUUAAUAGGUAAAUUGGGCCUAAAACGAGGUAUCGAGACCUCAAAUUUAUAAGCCGAGCCAUAAAUAUUUUUAUAAAUAUUUAUGGAGUGUCAUUGAGUUAGUAUAAAAGUUUCGUUAGAAAAUUUUAACGUUUGGAUAGUCAAUUAAUUAAAAAGGACUAAAUUGAGAAUAGUGCAGAAUUUGUUAAAUUGUCAUUAAAUAGCUUAAGUGACUAAUAAGGAGGGAUUUAAAAGGAAAUUAGACCCAAAUUAUAUGGGGUGGACGGUUGGGAAAGAAAAAUCAGCAAGAAAGUAAGGAGAAACAAGGGCAAAAUUGGAAAUUUUAUAAAUUAAAUAUAUAAAACAAAGAUAAAAGUGAAAAAUCUAGAGAUUUCUUCAUAAUUUAUCAGCAAAAACGCCAUAGGAGGUCUGAAACAAACUGGUUUUUCAUAUUUUUAUACCAUGUGAGUUCAAUUCUUACUUUUUUUUUGAAAUUUUUAUGUUUUGUGACUUUUACAACUAGGUCCAACUAUUAAAUUCAUUAGUUUUGAUUCCAUGGGUGAUUUUGCAAGUUACUAUGAAUAAUUUCUGGAAUUUUAUGAUGAUUUAAUAUAUAUUUUAAGUUUUAAUUUCAUUAUAUUAUGAUUUUAUUAAGUGAUUUUAGCAUAAAAUGAUUUUUAGGACCUAAUUGUGAAAGAGUUAGGAAUUGGGGUUUUGUACUGAAAUUAUGAAUAUAAAAGGCUGCAUAGUAGUCUAAAAUUAUUAGAUAAAGUGUUAUUUUAGGAAAAUUGUUCAAUUAAAGUGUUAAUUGAGUAGGGACUAAAUUGUAAAAACUGUAAAUUUUUGGGGUAAAAGUGUAAUUUCGAAAAUUGAACGGCAUAAAUUGUGAAAUGAAUUAGUACUGAAUUAGAUGCUAAUGAAUGGAAAAAAUUAUAUUAUAGAUCGGGAAUCCGAAGAUAAACGCGGAAAAGAGAAAGUAUCAAACUAGUCUCUGAACUUUUACAACUCCUACAAAUUGGCCCAUGUAAGUUCAUACGGCUGAACUUUUAUGAUUAAUUGUUAAUGUGGGAAUUAUAUAUUGUAUCAAUUCGUAUAUUUUUGUUGGAUUAUGAUUAUGGUAAAAAUGAGAAAAAAAAAUGAGAUUGUUAGUUCAAAUUAAGGGAUAUGCAGGAUUGAGAACAUACGUUCAGUAACCAGUGAUAAAUUGACGAAUAAGUCCAUGGUGGAUCCAUGGCAAAGUGUGGAAUGUAGGUAUGGUAUUUCAGUAAAGAAAACCAUACUGAGUUGUGAAAAGUAAGUAUGAUAUUUCAGUAAAGAAAACCAUACUGAGUUGUGAGAAGUAGGUAUGGUAUUUCAGUAACGAAAAUCAUACUGUGUUGUGAAAAGUAUGUAUGGUAUUUCAGUGAAGAAAACCAUACUGAGUUAUAGCAUUGUAAAAGAUUCAAGCAAAUCGUGGCACUGGGCAAACGAUGUACUCAAAUCCGUAAGACGAUCCUUAUUUUGUACAAGUAUUUAAAAGUGCAAUUGAAGCUAAAUGUUGGAAUAUAAGUUGACAUCUGAUAUUGAGCUCGAUUGAAAAAAUUCAUUAUUUGAGAUUGUGGUUGGCAGGAAAUGUUGAAUUUUUAUUUGUUUAUUAAUAUUGUUAGUGAAAUUUUGGUAAUAUUUUAUUAUGAGCCUAUGAACUUACUAAGCUUUCUGCAAGCUUACUUAUGUGUGUUUAUUGUUUCUUAUAGGUUGAUAAAUAUAUAUGUUCGGAGAAUCAGAUCUACAUCAACGAUCACACUAUCUAGAUUUACUCCGGUAGAUUUUGUUAAACAACUUUUUAAUUUAUAUAGCAUGUAUUGGGACUUGGUCGUUUUGUGUGUAUUCUUAUGAUAUGGCUAAGGAGUAGCAAGUAAAUUUUCGAUAAUGAUUAACUAUUGAAUUGGUUAUAUAAGAACGUGAUUUGGUGUUGUGUAUGCUUAAAUGAUAGUUAAUACAAAGAAAUUAUAAAAGAGUAAAAAUUUGCAAUGGGACAGUUUUUGGACAGCUGCAUUGAUGUGAUUUUGAAAAAUCACCAAAAAAUGGUGGAAAUUGAAUUAGAGAGUGAAUAAGAUAUAGAAUUAAAUCUGAAUGAAUCUAUUUUCACAUGAAAGAAAUAGAGUAAGCAAAAGAGUUGUAUAUUUUUAGAUAUUUGAAUUUUAGUGAGACAGGAUCAUAAUAGCUUUUGAAAUCCCCUAUUCUGACUUUAUAAAAUCAUUAAAAAAUCUACAAAAAUAAUUUGGAGUUGUAAUUUAUAUGUUUUAUAUUCCUUAGUGAGUCUAUUUUCAAUAGAAACAAACGAGAAUGUUAUCCGAAUUCUGUACAUUGAGAUAAUUAAUUUUUAGUGAGCUGUUGAACAGUAAAACAGUAGAAACUUUAAAGAAUAAACUGUACUAAUUGGCUAAACCAAAAAUUCUGGAAAUUUUAUGGUAAUAAGAUAUAUGAGUCUAGUUUCAGGGAAAAUUUACAUAUCUAAAUUUCGAGUUUCAUAACUCGAGUUAUAAUUAAAUUAGUGACUGUUGCGCAGGUGGACAGUUUUAUUGUGAAUAGUGAAAUAAAUUGUUUUGAUUUGAUUAAGUAUUCGGAAAAUUUUUGAUGUUCUCGGUUUAGACCUGAACCAUUUUUAUUGCAUGAUUUAGGGUGUUACAUCAAACUAGCCAUUGCAAUCAGUAAUCAACUAUCAACCAAUUACUAAACAGGACCUAUAUUUAUACAAAAACUAAUUAAUAAUUUAGUUAUAGACAAUAUGAUAAAGAGCUUAUGAUUAAAUUUACCCUUAAAUUUGGAUUUAAUCUUUAGACAUUUGAAUUUUUGUUGUUGUUUUAUUUAAACAUUUCAUAUAAAAGUAAUAAAAGAUGAAAAUACAAUUAAAGUAAUAUUUAUUUUUUAUUAAAAAAGUUUUUAUUGAUGUCAAAUUAACUUGUGACAUCGGUUCAAUAAAAAAGUAUGCAUAGUAUAUCUAUUUUGACUUUUUUUUUGUAUAUAUAUAUAUAUCAUAUAUAUUGAUAUAUAUCAUAUAUAUUGACUUUUUUUUGUUAAUUUUUUUUUUUGUAUAUAUAAAACAUGUGUUGACAUUUUUUUGUUAAGUUUAUUUUUAUACAUGGAUCUUGACAAAGUUGUAUAUUCAAUGUACUAUACUAUAGAUUGAAAAUGUGUAAUAAAUGAAAAAAACAUUAUAUAAAAAAAACAUUAAUUAUUUUGUUUUAGUAAUAAUGAAUAAUUUUUUAUCAAUAUGAAAAUGCAAUUUAUGAUGGGCUAAAUAUUUUUUUGAUUAAACUUUGUAGAGACAAACAGAAAAAACAAAUUAAAAAUUUGGUAACCGUGGACUGAGCUCACGCACAUAAUAUUGAUGAUGAAAGCCAAGUUGUACCAACCAGACGGCUCACAUUAACAUGGUUAUUUUAAGAGAUCAUAUUUAUUCUGUAUUAAUCUAUGUAGAUUACAAAAAUCUACAUGAAUAAAAUUAAUUUAAUUAAGAGUUUACCAAAGUUAACUAUCUCUUUCAGGUUUGUCAAGUGAAGUGGUUCACCUUUGCUUAUAUAUUGCAUCAAGUAAUUAAUUAAUAUUAAUUAGUGUUUAGUGUCGUUUACAGGGAAACAAUAAUUUGAAACAUGUCGUUUUAGUAAAUGGACAGAUGGGAAAAGAGUGAUGGUCCAAAUUACAUGGUCGUUGGUAUAGUUUUGUUGAGACAUGAAGUGGAAAGUGCUAAUUCUAAAUUCCAAUAUCAGAUUUUGAUUUGUUAAAAAUCCCACUUUCUUUAAGUUCCUUCGACAUAAAUGUUUGAAAGGUCGUCCAACGGCUGGUGCAAGUUCCUCUGUUUGUCUGACACGUCAGUUUUGACGAGGGUUUUAAGCUUGAUUAAUGGCUAUUAUUAUUGUCUGUAGAUUUCAUUGCUGCAGUAUUAGCAGAAGCUUGUGCUUAUGAAUUUUCCUUUGCAAUGGCUUCAAGUAUUGAACUUGAACUGUUAAAACUAAUCAGCUGUAAAGGAAUGACUUUGUACCAGUCUUACUCUUACCAAUAUAUAAUAUUUGAUUGAUCAUAGCUAGCAAGUUAAAGCUAAGGACAGGGAAGGAGUUUGGCGGUUACCGUGUCGGAUUUUUUUAAGCUUAUUUUAAUUAAAGAAUGUAAAGUCUCAUUUCCUCACGAUGUGCAGGGCCGUCCUAUAGCUGCAGUCUUUGUUUGUUUGUUUAAUCUGCUUAACGUUCUUGAUGUUUAUUAUAUUCAAGGGAGAGUCCCACGUUGUGACAUUUCAUUGGUGGGAGGAUUAGUCGAAUUCAUACGCGUGCUUCAUUCACUCUCACCUACUUAAUUAAUGGCUAAUUAAUCACAUUUAGUCACCUCUCAAUGAUUGUUCUUGGACCAUUAAGUCAUUGUAACUGCAAUUUUAUCAGGUCCACGGUGUUUGAGGGUCACUGAACACUUUCAAUUAGUUUAAUCCAACAAUGCAUGAACUUGGCCUUCCUAUGAGCUGUACUUUGCCUGGUUUUGGCCCCAUCUUUGGACUCCUGGAUUAGUAACAGAAUAAUGAUUUUGGAAUUAAGAAUGGAAGUCAAUCCUUGCUAACAUUCUCUUUAGAAUUUGGGGUAUAAAUAUGUCCCUAGUUCUUUCCUCACCUCAAACAAACCCUUCCUUGUUUUCCCCAUAGGCUUCUCAAUUUACAGGAGAUAAGAUGGAGUCUGUUGCAGCUUUUCAUGAUGGACCUUGGGACUCAUUUAACAUAAUGUUCUCCAAUGAAGAUCAUCUGGAUUUCACACACCAGGUUCUUAAUCAGUUUUCGUUUCCGCUGGAGCAUGACGAGCGGUUGAGCUUCAUAAAUCCGUCGACUUUUGCUCCUAAUCUUGAAGCCGAUAUGAGCAUUGCUGGGGUCAGUCAGAGUUUGUUUAGUUCUUCCAAUGCUCUCGACUCUCAUUUUCACUACAAAACUCAGGAAAGUAAUCAAAGUAGCAAUUCUAGCAGUAAUACCUUUGUUCCCCUUCC